GACGAACGCUGGCGGCGUGCUUAACACAUGCAAGUCGAACGAAGAGCGAUGGAAGCUUGCUUCUAUCAAUCUUAGUGGCGAACGGGUGAGUAACGCGUAAUCAACCUGCCCUUCAGAGGGGGACAACAGUUGGAAACGACUGCUAAUACCGCAUACGAUCUAAUCUCGGCAUCGAGGAUAGAUGAAAGGUGGCCUCUACAUGUAAGCUAUCACUGAAGGAGGGGAUUGCGUCUGAUUAGCUAGUUGGAGGGGUAACGGCCCACCAAGGCGAUGAUCAGUAGCCGGUCGGGGAGGAUGGACGGCCACAUUGGGACUGAGACACGGCCCAGACUGCUACGGGAGGCAGCAGUGGGGAAUCUUCCGCAAUGGACGAAAGUCUGACGGAGCAACGCCGCGUGAGUGAUGACCGCCUUCGGGUUGUAAAGCUCUGUUAAUCGGGACGAAAGGCCUUCUUGCGAAUAGUGAGAAGGAUUGACGGUACCGGAAUAGAAAGCCACGGCUAACUACGUG
This 510-nucleotide ribosomal RNA is filed under the name uncultured bacterium. RNAcentral's name for it is "partial 16S ribosomal RNA". It matches the Rfam family "Bacterial small subunit ribosomal RNA", at positions 28 to 507 of the family's 1533-position model. The record is from RNAcentral.